UCCCUGAUGGUCCAGUGGCUAAGACUCUGCACUCCCAACGCAGGAGGCCUGGGUUCAACCCUGGUCAGGGAG
This 72-nucleotide transfer RNA is filed under the name Bos taurus (domestic cattle). It matches the Rfam family "tRNA". From Rfam's summary of the family: Transfer RNA (tRNA) molecules are approximately 80 nucleotides in length. Their secondary structure includes four short double-helical elements and three loops (D, anti-codon, and T loops). The record is from Rfam by way of RNAcentral. RNAcentral also lists the same sequence under 3 other names. Lineage: Eukaryota; Metazoa; Chordata; Mammalia; Artiodactyla; Bovidae.